AACCUUCGGGUUAGUGGCGGACGGGUGAGUAACGCGUGGGAAUCUGCCCUCAGGAGGGGGAUAACGGUUGGAAACGGCCGCUAAUACCCCAUAUGCCGAGAGGUGAAAUGAAUUUCGCCUGAGGAUGAGCCCGCGUCUGAUUAGCUAGUUGGUGAGGUAAGAGCCCACCAAGGCAUCGAUCAGUAGCUGGUCUGAGAGGAUGAUCAGCCACACUGGGACUGAGACACGGCCCAGACUCCUACGGGAGGCAGCAGUGGGGAAUUUUCCGCAAUGGGCGAAAGCCUGACGGAGCAACGCCGCGUGAGGGAUGAAGGCCUCUGGGCUGUAAACCUCUUUUAUCAAGGAAGAAGAUCUGACGGUACUUGAUGAAUAAGCCACGGCUAAUUCCGUGCCAGCAGCCGCGGUAAU
RNAcentral lists this ribosomal RNA (408 nucleotides) under uncultured cyanobacterium. RNAcentral's name for it is "bacterial SSU rRNA". It matches the Rfam family "Bacterial small subunit ribosomal RNA", at positions 82 to 524 of the family's 1533-position model. Lineage: Bacteria; Bacillati; Cyanobacteriota. The record is from RNAcentral.